UUAGCUAUAGUUUAUUUUGAACAUUUAACUGUUAAUUAAAAAGAGCUUAUAUUACAGCUUAGCUAUC
Molecule: transfer RNA, 67 nt
Filed under: Pediculus humanus corporis (human body louse)
Lineage: Eukaryota; Metazoa; Arthropoda; Insecta; Psocodea; Pediculidae
Also listed under: 1 other name
Description: tRNA-Asn
Source: RNAcentral